GUACUGCUGAAGAGUCGCAAACCAAGACGAAAUGGACAUCCAUUAC
This 46-nucleotide non-coding RNA is filed under the name Trichobilharzia regenti. Lineage: Eukaryota; Metazoa; Platyhelminthes; Trematoda; Strigeidida; Schistosomatidae. The record is from RNAcentral.